This 845-nucleotide long non-coding RNA is filed under the name Pan paniscus (pygmy chimpanzee). RNAcentral describes it as "lncRNA (ENSPPAG00000045155.1)". Lineage: Eukaryota; Metazoa; Chordata; Mammalia; Primates; Hominidae. The record is from RNAcentral.
GAUUUUAAGCUCCUUGCAAGGAAAAUUAAAAUAUUUAUAUCUUCUACAUCCUUUCUCCAGAAAAUAAAGAAGACACUAGAAGAAAAAACCUUCAAAAGAGAAAUAUCUUAGAGAACUGCUAGAGUGGCCAAGACUGGGUCCAUGGAAGAAAAGGGUAUAUACCAACUAUCUCAGAAAAAAAGAGGUUUAAGAAUGAUUACCUUCUAAACUCAAGAUUCAAAUUUUAACAAAAAGUAAAGAGAAGAACAAGUGAGAAAGCUAGUAGCAAUGCAAGCAUGCUUGAGGACAUAGAAAAUUCAUGGAAAUCUGCAACAUGAAAAAAAUCAGAGAAAUCGUCAAAUCGGUAUCAGAAAAAGGUUAUGGGAAAAGCCAAACAUUGGUUGAAUUUGAGCUGACUGGAGGAUGCAAACUACAGCCGCAGGUCCAGGCAGAUAAGAAAAGUGAAGCCCAGAGAUGUCUUUCUCCAGCAUUAGGCUUUUCUGUAGUCAUUCAUUUUGGUAUGUAUGUGGGAAGGGAGUUUAAUUAAUGACAUCUUUCUUACAUAACCUUUUUUUUUUUUAAAGGCUUUGGAUUGUACUUGUGUGAUCAUGUCUUUUUCUUUCUUUCUUUCUUUCUUUCUUUCUUUCUUUCUUUUUUUUUUUUUGAAACAGGGUCUCACUCUGUCACCCAGGCUGGAGUGCCGUGGUAUGAUCACAGCUCACUGCAGCCUUGAACUCUCAGGUGAGGACUACAGGCACACCACCAUGCCUGGCUAAUUUUUGUAUUUUUAGUAGAGACAGGGUUUUGCCAUAUUGCCCAGGCUGGUCUUCAACUCCUAAGCUCAAGCCACCUGCCGGCCUCAGCUU